This 1431-nucleotide ribosomal RNA is filed under the name uncultured organism. RNAcentral's name for it is "SSU rRNA". It matches the Rfam family "Bacterial small subunit ribosomal RNA". The record is from RNAcentral.
UAGCUACAGGCUUAACACAUGCAAGUCGAGGGGUUGCAUUUUAGUUUGCUUGCAAACUGAAGAUGGCGACCGGCGCACGGGUGAGCAACACGUAUCCAACCUGCCGAUAACUCCGGAAUAGCCUUUCGAAAGAAAGAUUAAUACCGGAUAGCAUACGAAUAUCGCAUGAUAUUUUUAUUAAAGAAUUUCGGUUAUCGAUGGGGAUGCGUUCCAUUAGUUUGUUGGCGGGGUAACGGCCCACCAAGACUACGAUGGAUAGGGGUUCUGAGAGGAAGGUCCCCCACAUUGGAACUGAGACACGGUCCAAACUCCUACGGGAGGCAGCAGUGAGGAAUAUUGGUCAAUGGGCGAGAGCCUGAACCAGCCAAGUAGCGUGAAGGAUGAAGGCUCUAUGGGUCGUAAACUUCUUUUAUAUGGGAAUAAAGUUUUCCACGUGUGGAAUUUUGUAUGUACCAUAUGAAUAAGGAUCGGCUAACUCCGUGCCAGCAGCCGCGGUAAUACGGAGGAUCCGAGCGUUAUCCGGAUUUAUUGGGUUUAAAGGGAGCGUACGUGGAUUGUUAAGUCAGUUGUGAAAGUUUGCGGCUCAACCGUAAAAUUGCAGUUGAAACUGGCAGUCUUGAGUACAGUAGAGGUGGGCGGAAUUCGUGGUGUAGCGGUGAAAUGCUUAGAUAUCACGAAGAACUCCGAUUGCGAGGGCAGCUCACUAGACUGUCACUGACACUGAUGCUCGAAAGUGUGGGUAUCAAACAGGAUUAGAUACCCUGGUAGUCCACACAGUAAACGAUGAAUACUCGCUGUUUGCGAUAUACAGUAAGCGGCCAAGCGAAAGCAUUAAGUAUUCCACCUGGGGAGUACGCCGGCAACGGUGAAACUCAAAGGAAUUGACGGGGGCCCGCACAAGCGGAGGAACAUGUGGUUUAAUUCGAUGAUACGCGAGGAACCUUACCCGGGCUUAAAUUGCAACAGAAUAUAUUGGAAACAGUAUAGCCGUAAGGCUGUUGUGAAGGUGCUGCAUGGUUGUCGUCAGCUCGUGCCGUGAGGUGUCGGCUUAAGUGCCAUAACGAGCGCAACCCUUAUCUUUAGUUACUAACAGGUUAUGCUGAGGACUCUAGAGAGACUGCCGUCGUAAGAUGUGAGGAAGGUGGGGAUGACGUCAAAUCAGCACGGCCCUUACGUCCGGGGCUACACACGUGUUACAAUGGGGGGUACAGAAGGCGGCUACCUGGUGACAGGAUGCUAAUCCCAAAAACCUCUCUCAGUUCGGAUCGAAGUCUGCAACCCGACUUCGUGAAGCUGGAUUCGCUAGUAAUCGCGCAUCAGCCAUGGCGCGGUGAAUACGUUCCCGGGCCUUGUACACACCGCCCGUCAAGCCAUGAAAGCCGGGGGUACCUGAAGUACGUAACCGCAAGGAGCGUCCUAGGGUAAAACUGA